GAUAAAUAAUGAUAAAUACGCAGUGAAAGUUUCUUUCUGACUAUAUCAUUUCUUUUCCAUCUUUCUAAGGGGAUUUUCGCAGGAAACGAUCUCCAAGAGAAGUUUUAGAUUUCAACUAACCACACUAUUUUUGGCUUUUAUCCAGAUUUAUAAACAUAAUUUCUUUCCUAAAACAUUUAUCAGCAACCGAUACGACAGAGGCAGCACUUUAACAUAAUUUUUUAUAGAAACAUAUCCUAUUAAGUAGGCAUAGAAGGGAAGAAGAUCCAUAAACACUCUCUUCAAUGGUUACAGAAGUAGAACUUAAAGUAAAGCAAGAGGGAGUUGAGUAAGUGGUCUCAUAAGGGAAUCUAGUGAAAGAAGCGAGGGAAUAUAACAGAAGGGAGGAGAGUAUAUCAAGGGAUAAGCCGUAGCAGUGGAAAGUCAUCACUCACUCCACUUUACUCAACCUGGCAGUUCUUAUCUGCAUUGCUAUGCUUCCCAUUACCUAGUCGGAAAAUAGGAAAACAUUAAUUCUUAAAUUAAAACAAUUUAAAGGAGGAAUCUUAACUAAAUUCCGAUAACUAAAGUAACGAGAUUUGAAGAGAAAUUCAACAAGUUUUAAAACAAAUCGAUAAUUGUAAUCGAUUAAGAAAGAAAAGUGGAAAAUUCUACAACAAAUGGACCAUUACACGAUGUCGAUUAGGUUCCAAAUGAAGCUUAGCAAUUCGUAGUGGAGUGAAUGAUCGCAACUACUACCUGAGGACAUGUGCAGCGGAUGGCGAUAAGAGGAAGCCAAACGAUAAUCCAACCAUCCACACAUACACACGUGGAUUCUUUUUUUACACUCCAAUGGACAAUAUCCUGUAAUACGAAUCAGAUUUUUCACGCAUGUCUGACUGUCUACACGAUUGGAUUAUGUCGUGACGUCUUCAGAACCACUUCUCUUGCUUAUUUCCCCCCUUCUCUCUCUACUUGGGAUAACAGAG
RNAcentral lists this long non-coding RNA (968 nucleotides) under Androctonus crassicauda. The record is from RNAcentral. Lineage: Eukaryota; Metazoa; Arthropoda; Arachnida; Scorpiones; Buthidae.